Molecule: RNA transcript, 5060 nt
Organism: Galeopterus variegatus (Sunda flying lemur)
Lineage: Eukaryota; Metazoa; Chordata; Mammalia; Dermoptera; Cynocephalidae
Gene: KRAS
Gene name: Kirsten rat sarcoma viral oncogene homolog
Exons: 5
Source: RefSeq, a predicted model, not a curated record
GCUGAAAAUGACUGAAUACAAACUUGUGGUAGUUGGAGCUGGUGGCGUAGGCAAGAGUGCCUUGACGAUACAGCUAAUUCAGAAUCACUUUGUGGAUGAAUAUGAUCCUACGAUAGAGGAUUCCUACAGGAAACAAGUAGUAAUUGAUGGAGAAACCUGUCUCUUGGAUAUUCUCGACACAGCAGGUCAAGAGGAGUACAGUGCAAUGAGGGACCAGUACAUGAGGACUGGGGAGGGCUUUCUUUGUGUAUUUGCCAUAAAUAAUACUAAAUCAUUUGAAGAUAUUCACCAUUAUAGAGAACAAAUUAAAAGAGUUAAAGACUCUGAAGAUGUACCUAUGGUCCUAGUAGGGAAUAAAUGUGAUUUGCCUUCUAGAACAGUAGACACAAAACAGGCUCAGGACUUAGCAAGAAGUUACGGAAUUCCUUUUAUUGAAACAUCAGCAAAGACAAGACAGGGUGUUGACGAUGCCUUCUAUACAUUAGUUCGAGAAAUUCGAAAACAUAAAGAAAAGAUGAGCAAAGAUGGUAAAAAGAAGAAAAAGAAGUCAAAGACAAAGUGUAUAAUUAUGUAAAUACAAUUUGUACUUUUUUCUUAAGGCGUACUUAAGUAUAAAAGUGGUAAUUUUUGUACAUUACACUAAAUUAUUAGCGUUUGUUUUAGCAUUACCUAAUUUUUUUCCUGCUCCAUGCAAACUGUUAGCUUUUAUCUUAAAUGCUUACUUUAAAAUGACAGUGGAAACUUUUUUUCCUCUAAGUGCCAGUAUUCCUUGAGUUUUGGUUUUUGAACUAGCAAUGCCUGUGAAAAAGAAACUGAAUACCUGAGAUUUCUGUCUUGGGGUUUUUGGUGCAUGCGGUUGAUUACUUUCUACUUUUCUUACCAAUUGUGAAUGUUGGUGUGAAAUGAAUUAAUGAAGCUUUCAAAUCAUCCCUAUUCUGUGUUUUAUCUUGUUACAUAUGUGGAUUAAUUACUAAGUAUAACUUCAGUUGAGACUUUAUGAUUGGUUAUACUGAAACAUUGAGGGAACACAAAUUUAUGGGCUUCCUGUCGAUUCAUUUUCUAGGCAUCAUGUCCUAUAGUUUGUCAUCCUUAAUGAAUGUAAAGUUACACUGUUCACAAAGGUUUUCUCCCCCUUUCCACUGCUAUUAGUCAUGGUCACUCUCCCCCAAAAACUAUAUUUUUUCUAUAAAAAGGAAAAAAAAAAUGGAAAAAAAAAUUCAAGGCAAUGGAAAACAUUAAAAGGCCAUUUCCUUUUCACAUUAGAUAAAUUACUAUAAAACUCAUAAUAGAUUUUCCUGUUAAGGCAGACCCAGGAUGAAAUGGGGAUUAUAGCUACCAUUUUGGGGCUAUAUUUACUUGCUAUUAAAUUUUUAUAUUAAUUGAAAAAAUUUUAACAUGUAUAAAAAAUUCUCAUAGGAAUUAAAUAUAGUCUCCCUGUGUCAGAUUACUCUUUCUUAGUAUAACUUUAAAUCUUUUUUCUUUUUUUGGCGGCUGGUGGGUACAGGGAUCAAACCCUGGACCUUGGUGUUAUGAGCACCAUACUGUAACCAAUUGAGCUAACCGGCCAGCCUUAAAUCUUUUCUUGAACUUUGGUCUUUGAAAAUAGUUUUAAUUCUACUAGUAAUAUUGAAGAUUAUUUGGUCCAGUUAUAGGAUAGUAGGUAUUGAAGAGACCAAGUUUGCAAGGCCAGGCCCUUCGUGAACCUUUGAGCUUCAUUGAGAGUUUUGCAGUAUGGACUGCAUCCCUGUGGUCAUCCAGUGUUGCCAUGCAUUGAUUGGUCAAAAUGAGGACUAGGAGAGAGUUUGUAUAGUUCAACAAAAUACAUUCUCACUAUAUGGUGGUCCCACUGACAAAUCAGGAGCAUUGCUUUUGUUUUAAAAAACAGAACUUUUUAAAAAAAUUACUUUUAAAUAUUAAAAGUUGAUAUUUUGGGGUGGGGUGGUGCCAAGACAUUAAUUUUUUUAAACAAUGAAGUGAAAGUUUCAAAAUCUCUAUGUUUGGCUAGUUCUUACUAGCUAAAGUAACAUUUCAUAAACACUUUCCUAAAUUCAUAUUAAAAAAUAGAUAAGUUAAUAUUAAUGAAAACAGUUCUUUCAAAGCAUUUAAAAUGUUACUUAAUUUAAAAUAUUUGAAGUGAAAUAGUGUGAAAAUCACUGGACUAGGAGGAAGUUGACUUAGAUUCUAGAUAUGUGUCUUUUAGAACUCUGAUUUUAGGCAAAUCACUGUGCAUUUCUUCAUGUUAAAAGAAGUCAUCUCAAAGGCUCUAACUUUAAAACUAUGUUAUUUAUAUUCACUUUACAUAAGCAUACACCCAUUUGUCAAGCUCAGCACAUUCUGUAACUUUUUACCUGUUAUCUUUAGUACAAGUCUUGGGCAAAAUUGUGCAAGAGGUAAAGUUUAUAUUUGAAUAUCCAUUCUCCAGUUUCAGGACUCCCCUCCCAUAUUUGUGUCAUCUUGCCAGUCUACCCUUCCACAUGCCCCAUCACUUGAUGCAAUUUUCUUUUAAUACAUCCAUUUCCUUUAACCUCAAGAUUUAUUGCUUCUAUGGAAAUCUCCAUGAAGGUGUCCCAUUAAGUCACAUCAAAAUGCCCUACAUUUUAUUUCCUCAGGGCUCAAAAUAAUCUGACAGACACUACAAUGGGAUUUGACCUGAUAGCUGAUUUUCAGGUGGUAGCCGUCGCAAUUUAAUCUUGAUCCUUUGAACAUCAUCUCUUUGCUGCCCAGUCCGUUAGUGACUAAGUAGGAAUUUUCACACCUGGUAUGAAUAGACAGAACCCAACCCAGUGGAAGGAGAAUUUAAUAAAGGUAGUGCUAAAAGAUUCCUUAGGUACUCUACAGCUAGGACUAGCCCUGGUAGCAGUGUUUUAAUAACGAAAAUCUUCCUACAAUGAAAAAUACUUUAAAAUUUAUUUCAUAAAGCUUACUUUUUAUCAGAAUUCAUUUAUUCAACAAAUAUGUAUCAAGUGCCUACCAGAUGCCAGCCAGUACACAAGGCACUGAAUAUGAUAUGGUAUCCCCGAAUAAGAGACAUAAUCCCUGUCUUUUGGUAGUGCUACAGUAAUCUGCAAUAUCUUAGUAAGACAUUUGGAACAUGACCCAGAGAUAAGGCAGUGCACAUUUUAGUUUUGCAAAGAAGGGGUUUGGUCUAAGGUUUCUUCCCGUUCUAAAAUAAUUGUUUUGCAGUGAUUCCAAUGCAACUGUUUAGUCAAGCUACUUUAUAUAGAUCACUUUACUUCAUUGUUUUAAAUCACUAAACUGGAUUGUAUUUUUUUUUUAUUUGGCAUAACUAUGUGAUUCUAUUGGGACAAUUGUAGUACACAUUAAGUUGUAUGUCAGAUACUAAAUGUUAAAAUUCCCGAGUGUGUAAUACUCUUUCUUCUUGUGUAAGUAAUUAAAAUAGACUUUCAAAAAAUUAAACGUUGACUUAUAAAAUAGUUUUGUUUAUCUAGGUAUGAAUAAACAGGUGCCUGAACUAAUUCACAGAAAAGGAAACUUCUCUGUAAAAACCAGUAAGAUUUCUGAAAUGCUGUACUAGACUACAGAUUUAUGGAACAUUGUCUAGGUAGGGUCAUAAGACUUACAUAGUACCUCCUCUUGAGGAAGGCAAAGAAAUAAAUGGCCAUACUUCAGGAACUGCAGUGCAUAACUGAUAGGAUAUUUAGAACUCUUGAAUUUUUUAUGUAGCUGGGCAAUUUUUUUUAAGGUAGUGGUAAUUAUCCUUUAUUACAUGAAUUUUGAAUGGUUUAACAAAGGGUUUGUUUUUGUAGAGAUUUUAAAAGGAGAAAGAAUCCUAGAAAUAACAUAAAUGGUAUCUAAUUAUUACAGCCUUAAAGAUAAAAAUUCUUGAUGAAGUUGGGAAAAAGUGCUAAACUAUAGUUUUAGGCAUGUUUGUCUUCCACAUAUAGUCUUCCACGUUUGUGGAAGAAUAUAGCUUACACAUAUAGUAUAAUUUAAGUGAAUAUUCCCUGUUAGGAAUUUUAGGCUCUAUUUUAACUGAGUCACACUGCAUAGGAAUUUAGAACCUAACUUUUAUAGCUUAUCAAAACCUUUGCCACCAUUGCACAAUUUUGUCCUAACAUAUAUAUAUAUAGAAACUUUGUGAGGCAUGUUAAGUUACAGUUUGCACAAGCUCAUCUCAUUUGUAUUCCAGUGAUUUUUUUCUUCUAACCAUAUUUUUCCAAAUAAUAUAUAUACAUUUAGGGGUUUUGUAGGUAGUAAAAACUAUCCGAGGUCAUUUCCAUUUGUCAAAAAGUAAUAAUUUCUUGAUAAUUAUGUAGUAAAAUUUUUUAAAACCCGGCAUUUACUUUAAAGCUGAAUUUAUAUUUAGCAAAUUCUGUGUUAAUAUUGGCUAGCAUGAAUUCUGCAUUGAGAAUUUGAAUAGCAUACACCUGUUAGCUGUAAAUUCUGUCAGCAAAUGAAAAUUAUUUCUUUCCAAAGAUAUAUUAACAUUAGUUCUUGAAGAAUAAUCAUAAAUUAAGAUUUGUGUUCUAGUUUCAUAGUUUGAAGUGCCUGUUUGGGAAGAUGAUAGGCAAUUUAGAUGAAUUUAGGAAAAACAAGGUUAUUACCUGCAGAAAUGUCAAUUACAGAGGAUCCACCCUCCCCCACCCCUAUAGAGCUAAAUGGAUUACAUAAUGUUUUAUCCCAGAGUUUCCAAUUCCACUGUCUUGUGUUUUCAUGUUGAAAAUACUUUUGCAUUUUUCCUUUGAGUGCCAAUUUCUUACUAGUACUAUUUCUUAAUGUAACAUGUUUACCUGGAAUGUAUUUUAACUAUUUUUGUAUAGUGUAAACUGAAACAUGCACAUUUUGUACAUUGUGCUUUUUUUUUUUUGUGGGACAUAUGCAGUGUGAUCCAGUUGUUUUCCAUCAUUUGGUUGCGCUGACCUAGGAAUAUUGGUCAUAUCAAACAUUAGAUUUAAAAAUGACCACUCUUUUAAUUAAGAUUAACUUUUAAAUGUUUAUAGGAGUAUGUGCUGUGAAGUGAUCUGAAAUUUGUAAUAUUUUUGUCAUGAACUGUACUGCUCCUAAUUAUUGUAAUGUAAUAAAAAUAGUUACGGUGAUUA